Molecule: ribosomal RNA, 1406 nt
Filed under: uncultured prokaryote
Description: partial 16S ribosomal RNA
Rfam family: Bacterial small subunit ribosomal RNA
Source: RNAcentral
GGCUCAGGAUGAACGCUAGCGGCAGGCCUAACACAUGCAAGUCGAACGGUAACAUGAGAGCUUGCUCUUGAUGACGAGUGGCGCACGGGUGCGUAACGCGUAUGCAACUUACCCCAAACUGGAGAAUAGCCUUUCGAAAGGAAGAAUAAUACUCCAUAGUAUUUCAAAGAGGCAUCUCUUUGUUCUUAAAGCUUCGGCGGUUUGGGAUGGGCAUGCGUUCUAUUAGUUAGUUGGUGAGGUAACGGCUCACCAAGACCACGAUAGAUAGGGGGCCUGAGAGGGUUAUCCCCCACACUGGUACUGAGACACGGACCAGACUCCUACGGGAGGCAGCAGUGAGGAAUAUUGCACAAUGGACGAAAGUCUGAUGCAGCCAUGCCGCGUGCAGGAUGAAUGCCCUACGGGUUGUAAACUGCUUUUAUAUAGGAAGAAACCCCUCUACGUGUAGAGGGCUGACGGUACUAUAAGAAUAAGGACCGGCUAACUCCGUGCCAGCAGCCGCGGUAAUACGGAGGGUCCAAGCGUUAUCCGGAUUUAUUGGGUUUAAAGGGUCCGUAGGCGGGCUUUUAAGUCAGAGGUGAAAGCCUACAGCUUAACUGUAGAACUGCCUUUGAUACUGGAAGUCUUGAGUAUAGUUGAAGUGGGCGGAAUACGUCAUGUAGCGGUGAAAUGCAUAGAUAUGACGUAGAACACCGAUUGCGAAGGCAGCUCACUAAGCUAUAACUGACGCUGAGGGACGAAAGCGUGGGGAGCAAACAGGAUUAGAUACCCUGGUAGUCCACGCUGUAAACGAUCAUCACUCGACAUUGGCGACAUACCAGUCAGCGGCCAAGCGAAAGCAUUAAGUGAUCCACCUGGGGAGUACGCUCGCAAGAGUGAAACUCAAAUGAAUUGACGGGGGCCCGCACAAGCGGUGGAGCAUGUGGUUUAAUUCGAUGAUACGCGAGGAACCUUACCAGGGCUUAAAUGUAGAACGACAGUUUGGGAAACCAUUCUUUCUUCGGACGGACUACAAGGUGCUGCAUGGUUGUCGUCAGCUCGUGCCGUGAGGUGUCAGGUUAAGUCCUAUAACGAGCGCAACCCCUAUCUUUAGUUGCCAGCGAGUAAUGUCGGGGACUCUAAAGAAACUGCCGGUGCAAACCGUGAGGAAGGUGGGGAUGACGUCAAAUCAUCACGGCCCUUACGUCCUGGGCCACACACGUGCUACAAUGGCGAGUACAAAGGGCUGCUACCUGGUGACAGGAUGCAAAUCUCUAAAGCUCGUCUCAGUUCGGAUUGAAGUCUGCAACUCGACUUCAUGAAGCUGGAAUCGCUAGUAAUCGGAUAUCAGCCAUGAUCCGGUGAAUACGUUCCCGGGCCUUGUACACACCGCCCGUCAAGCCAUGGAAGUUGGGGGUGCCUGAAGU